UGAGGAACAUGACCUUCGGCGGGGGAGUAGCCGGCCCAACGGCCGGGUAAUACCGCGUACGACCACAUGGGGACAUCCCUGAGUGGUGAAAGCAGCAAUGCGCCGAUGGAAUGCCUCGCGGCCUAUCAGCUAGUUGGUGAGGUAACGGCUCACCAAGGCGACGACGGGUAGCUGGUCUGAGAGGAUGGCCAGCCACAUUGGGACUGAGACACGGCCCAGACU
RNAcentral lists this ribosomal RNA (222 nucleotides) under uncultured bacterium. Its description in RNAcentral is "partial 16S ribosomal RNA". It matches the Rfam family "Bacterial small subunit ribosomal RNA", at positions 118 to 337 of the family's 1533-position model. The record is from RNAcentral.